AACUUUAUUCUUUUUUACGCGUUGGACUCAUACAGCUCUUUUAUGUAAGUAUGUGGAUCAUACAUGCUCAUGACUAUCUGCUCUUGCUUCUGUAAUUUCUAUGAAAUUUCUACUUUCGCUAUUAGGUUGCGGCGUUGCGCAGGUGGUUUUCCUAAGGGUAGCUUGUAUAGUCUGUAAAUGCAUCCGAAAUAGAAUAAUACAGUCUUUACUCAUAGUCUUAGAAAACAUUAAAUUGUAUGUGUAUAAAAUAUUAAAUCAUAAUCAUUAAUCUAAACACCAAUAAAGGAGUCUGGAAGACCACCAAAUUGCCCAAACUCGUCAACUGCUACAGCAGCACAAACAUUAAUGCAACAUGUAAGGCACAAUAUAAUUUUUAAGUGAAAAAAUAUAUAUAUUUUUGAAAACGUGCUGGAUCUUUAUUCAGUUAAUUUUCAAAGAAACAUGGAGUUAUUAUGAUUUUAGGUCAUACCUGUAGCAUCGCCUUUGCAUCAUAUAACUGCUGAAUGGUUUGCUAAGUUGAUCUCCAUUGAAUUUGACAGCAUAUGCAGCCUUAAAAGGAUAUGAAGUUCUAAUAAUUCUACAAAUGACAUUUAUGGAAUUUAAAACUUGCUUACUGCUUAGUCAAUAGUCAGGCCAAGGUUUCGCCUUUUGUUGCAGUGACAUGACUGGGACUCCAGAAUAGUUCUGCAAAGUUGCUCAAGAGUGUCAUAUCUCAACAAACUUGGAACUGGUGAAGAUACUUUUGACUCAUUAAAUUAAAAGAAUGACCUGCAGCAUUUCUGUUUCAAGUAACUUGAAAAUAAAACGUUGAAUUGAAUAGACAAAAACAUGCAUACCAAGUUGAUAACACAGCAAGAAAAAUUAACACUCUUGGAUUUCUUUGGUUUUUUGCUUUAUAUUGAGGCUCUUGUUUGUGUUAUACACAGCACUUGAAUUACUUUUUCUUUAUAAGUUUAACUAUGUUCUCUGCGUGUGCGUGUGUGUGUGUGUGUGU
This 994-nucleotide unclassified non-coding RNA is filed under the name Hevea brasiliensis (rubber tree). Lineage: Eukaryota; Viridiplantae; Streptophyta; Magnoliopsida; Malpighiales; Euphorbiaceae. The record is from RNAcentral.